GCCGCUCCCAAUGCACGCAGCAGACUCAGCCGUGCGCCCGCACGCCUCCAUCGGCGCUCGCACGUAAGCUGUCCCUCCGGCCACCUGCCUCUGAAUCACAGCGCUCGGGUCCUGGCCGAGAGCAGGGGGAUUUCCCAGCGCCCAGCUCAAGGGUUUGCGUGCGGAGAAGCCUCCUCGCAGGCAGCUGGAAAUCGUCUCCGAAGACACAUUCCUGGACAAGCCAGAGCUGAGAAUGUCGCUGAAUCAUGCUGCAGAGCGCUUCCAAGUAUGAACAAACCUAAAUGAAGACAGCUGGCA
Molecule: long non-coding RNA, 297 nt
Organism: Vidua chalybeata
Lineage: Eukaryota; Metazoa; Chordata; Aves; Passeriformes; Viduidae
Exons: 2
Source: RefSeq, a predicted model, not a curated record